Molecule: long non-coding RNA, 7176 nt
Organism: Sapajus apella (tufted capuchin)
Lineage: Eukaryota; Metazoa; Chordata; Mammalia; Primates; Cebidae
Exons: 4
Source: RefSeq, a predicted model, not a curated record
AUUCCUGGGGCUGCCUGUGGUGUGGGUUUCCAAUCCAGUGCGUGUUACAGUUUCAGUGUAAAUCCGUUGUGAAGAUGUUUAGACAGUCACCCUUCUUAGGGCCAAGUUGUUUCACCGGAGUCAUAAUCUGCUUUCAGGGUUCCUAGCUGUGGCCCGAAGAAGGGUCUGGGAGCUAAAUGAAGAGGCAGUGCUACAUGGUGUUACACAGUGGUUCUUGAGUCAAACGGCCUACAAUCAGAUUCUGAAAUACAUUAAACACACACUUUCCUACUGAGCUUCCAAAAAUGGGACCUAGAAAACAGAAAAAUAUUAAAGUGGGGUACUAUCAUCUAAAUCUCCAAAAAGGUCAUUCAACUCUGAUUCCUGUUUAAAGAGAGAAAAAAGGAAUAAAGGAGCCUUUGAAGGCAGAAUAUUGCUCACUCAUCGCUUUGAAGGGACCUCAGACUGCAGAGCAGAAGAACCACUGGCUACAUCAGCUGGAGCAGAGGGGGAUGAAGAGAUCAUUAUGAUGCCUGCAAAAAAGUGGGCUCUGCAGAUUUCCAGUCACCUCCCUUCCCUUCAGAUCCAGAGCUCUCUCUGCCUGGGAUCUUCCAGAAUUCCAGAAUUUUUGUUCCACCUUCCAUUGCUCACUUCCAUGACCAUUACUAAGAUAUUCACAUGGAAUUCUGUGCAAACCCUUUUUUUCCUUUGGUGCCCUCUUUGUUUUACUUACUCUAUUGGGACUAAUGGCCAUCUGUCUUGGGGAUCCUUUGUCUUUUGUGACAAACCACUUUCAGCAGAUUUCCUUGAGGUUCAUUUGCUCAAGGGCCUUACAGUUUAUUGGAGGAAUACAGAGUAAGUUUCUAGAGAGCCUCUUGUGCCCUGCAAUAAGCUAGCGUGGAAGAUUAGGAUGCUAGUGUAUACUGCGUGUUUCCCAUGUAAUGGUAGAAAAGGAAUGGGGUUCAUGAGUUACUUUAAGGUGGCAGCAGCUAUGCUGGAGAAGACUGCAUUGCUUGUACUGAUUCAAAGGAGCAUCUAAUUCAGGGAAAAAGCAGUCAUAAGCUAAGGCUUGGGCUGACUGAUUCCUUGAAUCAGCCAUGGAUAUCAUUCUUUAGGCACUGUGCACAUAUCACUGAUCAGAGCACUUCUCUUAAGCCUCAACAGCGCUCACUUCCCCCGUCUUGAUGAGGUGAGCAGCACAUUUAAUUUCAGCCCCCGGGGUCAUCUACAAACCUCGACUCCAUUUCUCAGCUGUGUUUGCUCCUCUGUUCUCAGGGAGCAGGAUUUUCACUGGAUACAAACUGUGAGGUGCCGUCUGGGCAAGCAGAUUGGUUACUAAUGAGGAAACUGGCACUGACAGCUUUUUGGGUUCUGAUAGGAGAAAAGAGAUAUCUUCACAUCAGAAUGGUUCAAGUUUCAGUGUGGCAUAUCAACUGAUUGAAAUUAGGGAGAGAGAGAAAGAGAAAUUUAAUUGUCAGGCUGUGGUGCAUAGUGUCAAAGCUAUUUAGAUUAUGAGAAAUACGUCUUUUCAACAGCUUAAAGGCCACAGCUCUCAAAAUUUUUCUGGUAUGUACAACACAGACAGGAUCCAGAAAUCCAAGCAUAACUCAUGGUUUCAUCAAAUAUUCAGCAGAGAAAACUGAAGUAUUUGAUUGUAGUAUUAACUAUGAAGUGUUCCCUAUUAGUCAUAUGAUUCUAUUAACUCAGCUCACUCCUGUUAGAUUUAUAGAAACAUCAGAGAUAAUUGGAAUUAGAAGGGCCCGGAGACAUGAUCCAAUCCCACAUGGAGAUAAGCAAGGCCCCUGGUCUCACUGGAGAAGUUUUAAAAAAAUUAAACAACAAAAAAAUGGAGGCCCAGAGGGAUGAAGUAACUUGACUAAUGUAUUCCAUCAGUGACAGACUCCAUCUGGGCCUGGAGCUCCAUCUCAACUCUCAGCCCACUAAGGACCCUGUUCAUGGUGCCAUACUAGGAACCCACUUUCUGUGGGAGUCUUUGAGAGUCAGAAUGACUUAUUUACUGAGAUAUACAUGUCUAGGAUAAGGACAAUUGAGGGGAUAAUAAGGAAAGAAAUAAUGUAAGUCAAAUAUAUUUUGCCACAUGCCCUCCUCUCUCCAUGAAUCCAGGACAUUCAACCAUAUCCAGCAUCCAUUGUAGGACUAAAACUUGGACACCAAGGACUUCUAAGGAGCCUGCAACAAUCUGAAAUGACUGUGGGGAAGCUAGCCAUGCUCCGAGCCAUUCUUGGAAUAUUGGGUCCUAGGGGUACUGAGGAGCAUUUAUAAAUUUAAGCCCAGGUAUUCAAUUCUUCAUGGGACCCCCAAUGCUACCCCAAGUUUCUGCCUUGAUUCCAAAAUACUCAAGAGAGUCAAAAUGUCCUAUUUUCUCCCUGAAGUUCUUCUAAUGUUGGAAGACCUAGGUUGGAGACAAACCUUUCAGAGAGUUUCUGCUUGGAUUUAAAUGUAUGUCUAGCUGACUUUAGGAGACUGUAAUAUUUACCUUAAUAAGUUGCCUUUCCCAUGGCGUUGCUUAUCCUCAGAAGACCCCCAUAGUGACUUCAGGAGACGAUUCUCAUAUCUUCUGAAUUGUGCAUGCUCAUAGUUUUGCUGAGCAGGGUUUGCACCUUGCAGCGAUGGAGGUGCAGGAAGUCACAGGCAACACUGUGUGCCACACAUAACACUGUGUGCCACACACAACAUUGUGGAUCAAGACACAGUUAAAUGGGCUGGCAAUUCUGAGUUUCCAAGUCCACUCUUGUGACUCGUACAGCUGUCAGAACUAGAAGGGCCAACCCUGGGAAUCUUGGAGAUGCUUUAGAAAUACAUGAGAUUUCAGGCAUCCAAGCUCUUCUAUUUGCUUACAUGUAUUCUCAAUACCUGUCUCCCAUUAUCUAAUGUAUUCCAAAAGCAUUUCUUCAACACUUGCUGUAGACUCUUGGAUAAAGCUGGUAAACAUGCUUUUGUUAAGCUCCAACUCUUGUGCCCACCACUUAUACACUAUGCACCACACCUCAGUUGCAUGCAAAAUACUAUUGUGUGUUAGGGUUCUUUCUUACAUAUUUUGAAAUAGUGGCUCAGAGAAGUUAGGAUUAACCUAACUUCAAAAGUCACAGCAAGCACAGAGCUGUGACUCAGCCCUGUCUUAUCUGGGGUUAGGAGUAGUUUCUCUUUAUCUGCCUAUUUUAACAGUGGACCCUCAACCACUGAAAUUGUUGACAGGAAAAAGGAUGUGGUUAUUUUACCAAUAAAAACCCCACCAAACCCGAAAUUUUUUGUUUGGUCAACAUUUUAAUUCAACUGUACUCAAUGUAUAACAAUGGUGAUUCGAUAUGAUAGAUGCAAUGGAUAAUCAAUGCAGUGCCAUUUAUAGACUACCUAGAAGUGCACUGUACAUCAUUUUGACAACAUAUUUACCUUCAUUGUUUGGUCAAAAUAAAAUUUAAAAUUAUUUUUUGUUUCCUAAGUUUAUAUCAAUUGAAAAAAACAGUCAUCUGGGUAGCAGACAGAAGUCAGGCUGACUACAUUGGGUCAUGCCCCUGAGGAUUCAAAUGUAGUCAAUGGCAACAACAUCAGCUACUAAAGCUGUCAGUGGAGAAAAGAAGAAAGCACAAGCCAGCCACUCUGCAGAACAAUGCAGUUCUUUCAGAGUCACAUAGUCCUAAACCUGGAAACCAUCACAGCCAAGAGGAUAAGCAUUGGAACUUGACAGUGGUCUAAAACUAGUCUCUGCCUGCCAUGGACAAACUACAAGCAUCUAGGAAGUGAGGUAAACCUGAGCUAAACCCCAUUUCCUUCUCUGCAAACGAGGGACGGGAGAGUGGAAUAACACCUCCCUCAUAGAAUUGUUGGGAGGCGUAAAUGCCCCUCAGCACAGGGAGGUGCUCAUAGAAGGUGCAUCAUAAGUAGCAGCUAUUUUGAUAAUUACUAAAUAUGAUGAAUGAUGAUAAGCAAAAUAAUAAUACAGCUUUUUGACAUUUUCACUCAGUAGGUUAAAUUUAUAUCAAGCAAGCGAAGCAGUUUCCAGAAUUAAACUUCUGAUGGGAGCUUAGACAGGUUGACCUUUGCAGCUCAUUGCAACCCUGAGUGAGGGCCUGUGACUUUACAAGCCUUUUAAGGGUUUGAGUGCUACUUCUAAGCAAGAUCCUGGUGUCAUGCUAUUCUUCAUUAGGUGGAACGAUAAUGAAUGGAUAAAUAAAAUAUAACUGGGAAAGGAGACCACAGAUUGAACACAUGCAUUUAUCUCCACUUCUGUCCAAAACCUCACAGUAAAAGAAUUUAAAAUACAUGAACCUAUAAGAAUAAGAGAGGGGAGAUAUGAUGAAAGAAAAACCCAAAUUUUUGGAAGUUGGAAAAAAAAAAAUGGAAGGUUGGGAACAUGCUUAGCCAACUAGGGACAGUAGAAAGCUGCAUGUCUGCAUACGGGACACCCUGGCAAGAGAGGAAAGCAAGGCAAUUUGGACGUGGAACCUUGGAAAGGGUUAGAAUAGGAAACAGAUCCAUGAGUCAUGACACCCCGGUUGAGAUUUUUGCUUUAGCCAUUCCAGCGCAUGCUUGUUUUUCACUAAAAGUCUUUACUCAUUUGUUUUCUCUCUUCUGCCCAGUGAACAUCUACUCAUUCUUCAAAACCCAGAACUGUUGUUGUUUCUUGAAAAAUGGAGAUUCCAAAGUUCUUUUAGCCUUUGCAAUGUGAAGGCAUGUGUCAGAGUUGGGAGGGGUCAGGAAACAGCACCUCUUUCUUUUAAUAUCCAGUUGAUUGAGGCCAAUGGGUCAUCCCAGCUCCUUCCUAAAUAUUCCUGAGAAUGCUCAGAGAGGGUGCACAUGUUCCCUAAGUCCAUUCUGGUUAUCAUGUGUGCCUUCAUGCUCUGCUCUGCUGCUCCCAGCUUCUUUGUGAUCUCUCCUGACUAAAGCUAGAACUUUUCGGCCUUCUUAAAGUCCAUUUUACUCGAAAGCAUGAAUACAAUACUUGUUCUUUAUUCUCCAGUGCUUACCAACACAAGAGUUAAUGCUAUUUAACAAAUUUUGCUAUGAAGGAAAGGAAAACCUAAAACAAGAUACCAUGUAUCACUGUUCCUGAAUUCUAUCAUCAUGUCCCUUUAAAGACAAUGCUCUUGGGUUCCCUCUCUCCUCUGGCCCCAGCCUCCUGCCACUGGAACAAGGGUCCAAGCUUCUUCAUGCAUGGAAGUUUUAUUCAUCUUAUCCCCCCCAAAUCUACAGCCAAAAGAAGGAAACACCCAUUGAUGACAUGAUAGACAAUACACCAGUUGACAAGAUAAUGAUACAGCGUGCCCAACCUGAAGAGAGAAUUUGUCACUGCUAGAGUAGUGAACCUUCUCCAGGUGAAGCAUCUGCUGUUGGAAACUUCCUUCUGUCCAGGGCUCCUGCAAGGCCAGUGAGUAGGUACUUCUAUCUACACAUGACUGAAAAAGACUCACCAAAACCAAUAUAUCCCUAAGGAUACAUUCUAAAUUCUACCCAAGGAGCAGAUGCUGCUUACAGUUCUCUAAAAAAAAAGUUUUUUUUUUUUUUUCAACCCUAGAUAUAUCAAGAAUGGGACACAGUCUCUGAGCAAGAAAUUGUUGGGAUCUGUCUUAAAAAUGCCUUUGGUUUCCCAUUACAUUUCCGAUUUCUCUAGACAGUAUUUGCAGCUCCCUUGUUGGUGUUCCCAUUAUUGUAAGUUUGUACAAACAGCAAUAAGACUAUAAGGCCCUUUUAAAGUCCAUUUUUAAAAAGGGGGGGGCCAAUCCUGGGAAUCUUCUAUAGCUCUUAUCACAGGGUACUUGGUUAUUUCUUAACGGACUGUCUAUCCUGUAAGCUGUGAGCUAUUUGAGGGCAAAGAAUAUUCUAUUCAUUUUUAUAUUCCUGGCACAUGGUAGGCACUCAGUAAUGCUGCUGCUGAAUUGAAUCAGCUGUGAGAAAAAAACAAAAUUCUUCUCCUCAGUCAGCAUUUGUUUUCUAGGAUCUACUCCAAUAUACUUCCAACAAAAGAUAUGGGAUUUAAAAGAUAGGCAGAGAGUGAAUUGAACUGAAUGUUGCACAAAAACACACUGUCUUUAAAGGUGGAAACGAAAUCUACCACCUUCUCAAGAUAGCUGCUCUGUCUCACAUCUUCUAGAAGCAAUGAAAUGAUGAGUGCUGUGAUCAGAGAGGACCCUCAGAAAAUAAAUAAAAAUCCAGCCCUACAAAUGCAGCCGUAAGCCAGGAGGAUAUGACGAAGGAUAUCAUUAUCAUCCUGAUAUUUUUAGAAGUUCUUUGGUGACAGGUCAGAUUUUUGAGAAUCAGAAAAUGAUAAAAAUAAUUUUGUUAUUCCACAAAGGAGGCUCUAUAUAUAUCAGGCCGAUUUUAAACACUGCCUGAGAAUGUUGAGAAAAUAUUUUUAAAUGUUAGUGAAAUGAUAGCCUUUGGGGACAGACCCAGCCUUGCUUUAGAAAAAGAUUUAUCUAAAGAUUUAUCUUUAGAAAAAGAUUUAUAUUAGAGAUUUUAGUGAUGUGGGCAUCACAAAGAAUCAGUGGUGAGUGGGUGUAGGUUUUUGUUUUCCAAUUUUCCAGAGGAGGGUCCACAUGGAAAAAUUUCAUGAAUUUGAAAAUUGCUUUUGAAGCUAUUACAGGUACCUGGGGAGUCCUCCUUGCCACCACCGGCUGACUACACUAUUCAGAUGUUAAGAGACCCUCGUAUUUCCUAAUCUCUAGGCUGCAGGAUUCUACAGAAUUUCUUUUGCAGCUUCCAUUUGUAGCUAUUGCCAAGUGGCCCCAUAGUUAUAUGGGAUGUGGGACUCUGGAUUUCAGGUAGAAAUGACCCUCUAUUUAUUUGAGAUGUUUGCUUCUUUAAAUACUCAGCCAUCUGACUCUCGAAUUGUUUAGGAUUAGUCAUAAGUUAAGUAGGACAGGGAAGAUGUUAUAAAUAGUUUAUUGCAUAUCCAUUCAAGAAAUUUAGGCUCAGUUAUAUAUUUUACCCAUGGAAAGGAGAAAACCUAUGUGUUUAUUUAAAGCAUUGUAGUUUUUUUCUUAUUUAGAAUAUAUGAGUCUAAUAUAAAAAUUGAUUUUAGAUGAUUUAUAUGUAACUGCUCGUUUCUUCAUACUUAUUUUGCUACCUUUUUAUUUCUUAUUUUUCUUAAGUAUGACUUUGAGUCUUUAAAGGUGUUUCCUUUAUGUCUCUUUGAAUAUUAAAACCAACAUGAAUUAAAAAUAGAAGUCUGCAUAUCAA